Molecule: ribosomal RNA, 1632 nt
Filed under: Triticum aestivum (bread wheat)
Lineage: Eukaryota; Viridiplantae; Streptophyta; Magnoliopsida; Poales; Poaceae
Description: partial small subunit ribosomal RNA
Source: RNAcentral
AUGGAAGAGGAAGAUAAUCCUCCAGCAUAUGAAUCCACUGACACUGAAGAGGAAGAAGAGAAUAGAGACAUGGGUUUAGUUGAUGAAGAGGAAGAGGAGGAGGAGGACAGACCUGUUGUAGUAUAUAACAAGGAGAAUCCAUUAUUUGCAGAAGGCUCGGUAUUCCCCUCUUUGUUGGACUGCAAGAAUGCACUUUCUACUUUUGCAAUUAAACGUGAAUUUGACUAUACAGUCGAAAAGAGUGAUUCUAAGAGGUUGAGAGCAAGUUGUGCAUAUAAGAGGUGUAAGUGGAGAAUUCAUGGCUCUUAUAUGAGGAAUAGCACAAUAUUUCAGAUCAAGGUGUGUCCUUUCUCUCAUACAUGCCCAACUAAGCUAAGAAGUGAGAAGUUCAAGCCGGCAAAGAGCAGGUGGGUUGCUGAUGUUGUGCUGGAGUGGGUGAGAAAGAACCCAGAUAUUGGCCCUACUGCUCUUCAAGAGAAGAUCCAUGAGAAGUACCACUUCACGGUGCCAUACAUGCGUGUAUCUCAUGGUAAGGACAAAGCAAUGUAUAUGAUUAGUGGAAAAUGGGAAGAUAGCUUCCAUCGUCUCUAUAGUUUCAAGGCUGAGGUGGAGAAGUGUUCUCCUGGUAGUGUAGUGGAAAUAGACAAAGAAACUGUGCAGUACAAGAUCAAAGGAAAAGUGAGGGAGAAGGAAUGCUUUAGGAGGGUGUUUGUUUCAUUCAAGGCAUGUUGGCAAGGCUUUUUAAAUGGAUGUCGACCAUACUUGGCCAUAGACUCAACUACACUAAAUGGGAGAUUCAAAGGGAAACUAGCUUCUGCUUGUGCCAUUGAUGGCCGUAAUUGGCUUUACCCAGUUGCAUAUGGGGUGCUAGAGACAGAAUCAUCUGAAAGUUGGGCUUGGUUUCUCCAAAAUCUGCGUGGGCUUAUUGGGCAUCCUGAAGGACUAGUCAUACACACUGACGCUUGCAAAGGUUUAGAGACAGCAAUAGAACAAGUGUGGCCUGGAGUGGAGCAUAGGGAGUGGCUGAAGAUGAUGGUAAUUAGACGCAGUGAUGUUGAGGCAGAAAUUACUGCAGUGGACAAAGAGAAUAGGGAAUGGAGGUACCCUGUUGACAUCGCAAAGGAAACAUGUAGCUGCAGGCAAUGGCAGGUCAAGGGUUUGCCAUGUAUCAAUGCCCUGUACUUUAUUACUUCACUACGAGGUCCAGUAUCAGAAAUUGAACCAUAUGUACAUGAGUUCUACUCCAUUGCAAAAUUUAAGGCUGCGUAUGCGGACAACAUACCUGCAAUGGUAGGCAAGCAACAAUGGGACAUUGUUGACCCUGGUUUCAAACUACAUGCUCCAGUGUUGAGGAGGCCAAAAGGCCGACCAAGGAAGACUAGAAUUAGAUCUAGUGCUGAAGGUGCUGGCGUGGGCGCCAGGAAAAGGAAGUGCAAGCGAUGCGGAGGCUUCGGGCACAUUGCCAGAUUGUGCACAAAUCCAGUUGACCCAGCAUUUGGAGAAGAUGAGGCUGAUCUCCAAGCUAGGGAAGCCCCUUUUGUGGCAGGAGAAGGCGACCCUGAACUAUCAAUGGUUGCAAGUUCUGCUAGAAAAAUGGGCAGCAACCAUGCUGAAAUUUUCAUAGAAAUAUAG